UACAAUGAACCAGAAGGCACUCUAAUUUUUCAGUUAGGCAUGAGUUUUGCAGAUACAAAAGAGGCAAGGGAAGCCUUAGCUAAGUAUACAAUGGCUAUGGAUAGAAGGUUAAAACUAAACCCCAAUGAACCAGGCCGUAUCAGAGUUAAAGUGUGUCACAGGUCAGAAUUGUGACUUCCUGGUGUUCAUGUCAAAGGAUGGAAAAAACCUAGGUUUGCUAGUUAAAACCCUGCAGCUAGAGCAUAAAUGCUACAGAACCUCUAAGAAUCCUAUAGUAACAAUUAUCUUUCUAGCAAACCAUUUUAGACCAUUAAUCUGCAGAAAUCCUAAGACUACUGUUAAGGAGCUUAUGAACCUUGUUGAGCUGCAACUUAAAGUCAAGGUUUCAUACAUAAUGUGCAAGAGGGCUAAGAGACUGGUUAAACAUGAAUUUGAUGGAAGCUAUAUAAAAGAGUUCCAAUGCUUGGAAGUUUAUGCAGUAGCCCUAAAAAGAGUCUUCAAGCGUAUGUUCAUAUGCUUUGCAGCAUGUAAGCAAGGUUGGAAGGCUGGAUGCGGGCCUUUUAUUGGGCUUGAUGGAUGCUUCUUGAAGAGUCCAUGCAAGGGACAAUUGCUGUAAGCAAUUGGGAAGGAUGAUGAUGAUCAGAUGUACCCAAUAGCCUAGGGUGUUAUAGAUACUGAAAACACAACAAACUGGAGAUGGUUUUUACAGCAUUUGGUUCAAGAACUUGACCUUGAUGAUGGAGCAGAAACUACCCUAAUAUCUGACAUGCAAAAGGGACUUAUUAAAGUUGGCAAAGAACUUCUUCCAAGUGUUGAACAUAAGUGGUAUGCAAGGCACAUUUGGGCACACUGGUCAAGAAAUGGGGAGGAGGUCAGUUUCAAAAACAAUUUUGGAUUUGUGCAUGGAGUCGCUAUGAGGAAGAGUUUGUUGAUCAACUAAAUAUGAUGGGACAAAUCAGCAAAAGAGCUAUAGAGGACUUAGUAUGGUAUCCCCCAAACAAUUGGUGUCGAGCAUAUUAGGCAUAAGUUAAUGAUUGCAGAUAAUAAUAUUACUGAGUGCUUUAACUCUUGGAUCAAGGAUUCCAGAUAUAAACCAAUUAUCAGCAUGCUUGAGGACAUUAGACUUCAAGUGGUGAACAGAAUAGCUGAGAAGAAGAAUCAGGCAAGAACUUGGUUCAGUGAAUGGAGUCCAUCAAGUAUGAAGUUCUUCCAUGGUAACAAAGACAUUGCAAUGGCCUGUAAAGCAGUGUUUAAUGGAGACGAAGGUAUUGAAAUUGGGGAAGGGGAUGAUAAAUAUACAGUCUUCUUAAACAAGAAAGUUUGUACUCUCAGGAUUUGGGAUCUUACUGGAAUCCAAUGCUCACAUGCCAUCUGUGCAAUACAUCAUUUGAAUAAGGAGCCUAUGAAUGAAGUCUAAGUAUGAAGCUUAUUAUAGCUUCACUAUGCAAUCAGUUCUUUGGAGGAGGUUUAUGAGAGUGGAUGAGUACCUGCAUAUGGAACCUCCAGAAGUGAAAAAAACUGCCUGGAAGACCAAGUAAAAAGCGCAUUAGAAAUGCUAAUGAACCAAACCCUUCAUCUGGAAGUGGAAAAUUAGGGAGAAAAGGCCAGAAGUAGAGAUGCAUGCAAUGUCAUGAAGAAGGGCACAAUAAAAUGUCAUGCAAGAAAAGGGGCCAAACAGGCACAUCAGAGGAUGGAUUCUAGCAAACUCAGUCAGGAAGUAGCAUGCCUGAACUCUGUGAAGCUUCUCAAACAACUCAGGCUUCUCAAACCACCCAAGCUUCUCAAACAACCCAGGCUUCUCAAACCACCCGAGCACCUCAAAAUUUUAGGAGACCAACAGUAGGAGGUGGCUGCUUUUAUGAUCCAGUAACUGGACAAAUUGUUUUGCAUGGGAACAACACAUAGCCUCUGAAACUCUAAUGGCUUCAGGAAGUUGCAUUACCACUGAAGAUCCUAAUAUGAGGUUCUCAAUUCCAAAUGAGAAUAUCAUUAGAAGAUCUUAUGCAAAAAAGUCUACAGGUUUACUCUAAAAGCCAUCACUUUUAGAGGAUCUGGGUCUCAUAUUAGGUAUGCUGACAACUUACCAUUUAAGCCAAUAGGAGGUCUUAAAUGGAAAGGUGCACCUGAAGUCACUCGCUCACAAUUGACUAAAAAAACUCAUGCAAAAAAGAAAGGAAAAAGCAACAAUGAUGCUGCAGCUACAAGCUGAAAUUAUAUGUUAUUUUUUUGUAUUAUUUUUGUAAGUUCCUUAGGAGGCUUUAAACUCUGCCUGUUAGGUUAAUUCUUUGUAAGUU
Mercurialis annua (annual mercury) is the source of this 2294-nucleotide long non-coding RNA. RefSeq lists it as uncharacterized. The record is from RefSeq and is a predicted model, not a curated record. Lineage: Eukaryota; Viridiplantae; Streptophyta; Magnoliopsida; Malpighiales; Euphorbiaceae. The transcript is spliced from 4 exons.